AGCCGGGCAUAAUUGCUGCAGGUGUGCGUAAUUAACUCGCCUAUUUAUCCACACCUGUACGGGCAGGAAGGCACUGGCUGAUUAGUCUUCGUGACACAUGUCAGGACCUCGGAUUCAAGCUCUGGAUUCUUCUCCUCAAUUCCACUUCCUGUACGACUUUUCGCCUUCCGUCCGACCCAGAUGGAUUACCGCCUGUGUGGACUUCUGCUUCUGUCCGGCUUGGCCUGCGUGUCCACAGGACAGUUCCCCAACGCGCACAUG
Entelurus aequoreus (snake pipefish) is the source of this 261-nucleotide long non-coding RNA. RefSeq lists it as uncharacterized. NCBI's taxonomy places the organism in Eukaryota, Metazoa, Chordata, Actinopteri, Syngnathiformes, Syngnathidae. The transcript has 2 exons. The record is from RefSeq and is a predicted model, not a curated record.